CCCUUAGAUGUUCUGGGCCGCACGCGCGCUACACUGAUGCAUUCAACGAGCCUAACCUUGACCGAGAGGUCCGGGUAAUCUUUGAAACUGCAUCGUGAUGGGGCUAGAUUAUUGCAAUUAUUAAUCUUCAACGAGGAAUGCCUAGUAAGCGUGAUUCAUCAAAUCGCGUUGAUUACGUCCCUGCCCUUUGUACACACCGCCCGUCGCUCCUACCGAUUGAGUGUGUUGGUGAGGAGUUCGGAUUGGCUCUUAGUGGUGGUUCGCCACCACCUAGAGCUGAGAAGUUCUCCAAACCGCCCCACUUAGAGGAAGGAGAANUCGUAACA
This 326-nucleotide ribosomal RNA is filed under the name uncultured eukaryote. Its description in RNAcentral is "partial 18S ribosomal RNA". It matches the Rfam family "Eukaryotic small subunit ribosomal RNA", at positions 1470 to 1796 of the family's 1831-position model. The record is from RNAcentral.